AUUAGAUAGUAGGCGGGGUAACGGCCCACCUAGUCAACGAUCAUUAGGGGUUCUGAGAGGAAGGUCCCCCACAUUGGUACUGAGACACGGACCAAACUCCUACGGGAGGCAGCAGUGAGGAAUAUUGGUCAAUGGGCGAGAGCCUGAACCAGCCAAGUCGCGUGAAGGAAGAAGGAUCUAUGGUUCGUAAACUUCUUUUUUAGGGGAAUAAAGUGCGGUACGUGUACCGUUUUGUAUGUACCCUACGAAUAAGGAUCGGCUAACUCCGUGCCAGCAGCCGCGGUAAUACGGAGGAUCCGAGCGUUAUCCGGAUUUAUUGGGUUUAAAGGGUGCGUAGGCGGAAGAAUAAGUCAGUGGUGAAAGUUUGCAGCUCAACUGUAAAAUUGCCAUUGAAACUGUUUUUCUUGAGUGUAAAUGAGGUAGGCGGAAUGUGUUGUGUAGCGGUGAAAUGCUUAGAUAUGACACAGAACACCGAUUGCGAAGGCAGCUUACUAAGAUACAACUGACGCUGAGGCACGAAAGCGUGGGGAUCGAACAGGAUUAGAUACCCUGGUAGUCCACGCAGUAAAC
This 570-nucleotide ribosomal RNA is filed under the name uncultured bacterium. RNAcentral's name for it is "bacterial SSU rRNA". It matches the Rfam family "Bacterial small subunit ribosomal RNA", at positions 240 to 807 of the family's 1533-position model. The record is from RNAcentral.